AGAGCGUCGGGGAGGAAGUAGCUUGCUGCCGCCUUGGCGUCCUGCUGCUCGCGUCAUCACCGCCAGCUUCGUCGGAUCCUUACCGCCGAACCCGUUCUUGCCGCCGCCGUUGGAAUCACAAACAGGGGAAGGAGAAGACGCGGGUCAGUGCCGCGAGGAGGAGCGCGACCCGCUACACAACGCUGCGCCGCCGUGUUGUUGCCGUCGCCGAGCUCCCAUGGUUGCCGCCGGCAAGAUUCAAAGGGAGAGAAGCUCGAGGAAAGAGAAAGAUCGACAGAGGAGGUUUUGUUUGAGCGGCCGUGCCUCCAUCGCCUUUCACCACUGCAGAUCCGCCACCGUCCACCGCGCCGCACCACGCCACGUCGCCGCCGGAAACCGCCACUGAGGCCUAAGUCUGUUUGGUUAUACAGUCACCACUGUUGCUUGUGUGGCUACGCCGUGGUGGUUAUAGCUGCCGCCACAGUCACCGCCUGAAUGCCCUGGAAUUUCUAUUGUCUUGCCCUAAUUCAAGUCCAGUGUCACUACCCUGUGUUGUUCUUGCAUUUGAUUUCAUCAAAUUCGAAUCCUGCUGCAACCAUUGUCAUUACUGUAAGAAAAUUAACGCUGCCGCGAAUUAGGAAGGAAAGGGGAUUGUCGCGUUUAAAUUACACGAUUUUGGCUAAUCAAGGUUGAAAACUCGAUACUCUGUUGAUCCUACGACGUAAGUGUGACCGGGCACUAUAUAAAUUCCCGGAAAUGUUACCCCCAUUGAGCAAUAUUGAUUAUUUGAGAAAAAACUAUGCAUAGACUCUUGGGGAUGCACGUCAGGGGACAGUCUAAGGACAAUUCAAACUUGUCGGGUUGGCUGGAUAACCGACAGAUGAGCCUCAUCAGUCAUAGGACAGGCAUGCAUCAUAUGCAUUUGUAUGCUUUGCUUGGGUUUGAACUUGUUUUGGUUUGCCUAAUUGCUAAACUGUUCUUAACUGCUACUUGAACUAUAUGCUGUAACUGCUACCUACUUGUGCUUUUCUUGUCUGUCUUGCCUGUGUUUGUCCUGACGUGCUACAUUUGAGAAUGAAUUUUGGUGCUGAACUAAUGAUUGUGUUGUUUGAUUGCGUGGUUGAUUUCUGAUUGAGGUUUUCUUAUAAGAAAGGAAAGGUUUCAAAUUUCUUGAAAGAUUAAACAUUGUUUCUUUGAAAAGGUUUUGAACGAUUUUUCUAUUGGUUUUUAAAAGAUUCAUAAGGCAUUGAUAAUCAUUGAGCUUGAAAACAGUUUUCUCAUUAAAUAUCUUCUUAUGACAACUUUGAAGUUCUGUGGUGAGACCAUGUGGUUAGGUUCUCACCCCCUUCAGCUUUACC
Long non-coding RNA from Arachis duranensis, 1337 nucleotides. RefSeq lists it as uncharacterized. Lineage: Eukaryota; Viridiplantae; Streptophyta; Magnoliopsida; Fabales; Fabaceae. The record is from RefSeq and is a predicted model, not a curated record. The transcript has 4 exons.